This is a long non-coding RNA of Neofelis nebulosa (Clouded leopard), 320 nucleotides long. RefSeq lists it as uncharacterized. The record is from RefSeq and is a predicted model, not a curated record. NCBI's taxonomy places the organism in Eukaryota, Metazoa, Chordata, Mammalia, Carnivora, Felidae. The transcript is spliced from 2 exons.
AUGGGAAUUCAGGGUGCAGGACGACCUUCGGAAACAUGUGGUUCCGUUACCUUCCAUGUGUAAAGUGAGCCUUCUCAGGAAUGUGCCAGAGAAGUGCUGGAACUGUGCUUUGAAGACUUUUCAGCUUGGAAGCCAUCCACCAUUGGUGAAGCCCAAGUUUUGGAGAGGCCCAUGUGGCGACAGGCUGAGGUUUCCUGCUUCCAGCCAGCACAGCCUUGCCAGACCUGUGACGGAGCUGUGUGGAACAGACAAGCUUUCUUCACCACGCCCCACCCAAAUUUCAGGUUUCUAAGCUGAAAAUAAAUGAAUUUUUAAAAUAA